UUUUUAAAAAGAUAAUCAUAUCUAAAAUAAAUAAAAUUUAGAAUGAUACAAAUUAUUUGCGAUUGGAAAAAUGACAACAUCAAAAUCUUCUUGUCACUAACUAAUUUACUAUUGGGUAUCAACUAGAGGAGCUAACGAUCAUAGACAUUUUAUGCCUCAUGUUUGCUUUUAAGUUUUUGGAUUACUAACCUUAUCAUAAUUUGUCUUUGCUAGAACAGAUGCAAAAGCCUCUGAUAACUAUGAAUCCAUCACUUUUAAUUCAUAUCACAACUAUUCCACAACUUUAAUGAGAAACAUACUCCAUUAUGUCCACAAAUCAGAUUCAGCAUAAAACUUGCACAUCAAAUUCCUGUCAGAGGGGGUUUCCAUUCAGGACUUUCAUGUAUUUACUUCAACUGAAGCAUCUUUGACAUCUUCCAACAACAAUCUAAACUUUAGAGUCUUAUGAAGGCGGGCAACUGGCUUCACUUGCUUACUUGGAGCUUGAUUUGGAUCAAUUAUGCAUUUUCCUGAGAACAGGUUUGCUUCUGAUGGUCCUGUCUCCUCAUGAAGCACAGGGGGAGCUUCUGAAAAUAAAAGUUCAUGUCAGCAUGAUAAUGCAACAAGUAGUUCCUAGACAGAGCUUCAUGUAGAAUCAUAUGAUAAAACACUUCUGAAAAUAUUUUAGCAAAAAUAGCUUGGAUGCAAUGAAGUCAUAUUUGUCUCUGUAAAACAAAGACAAAUAAUGUUGAUAAAAUAGAUCGGACCUAAUUAUAUCCCAGAAAACAUCUUGUGGGAGGAGAUUGCCCAAGUCAUAUAUGAACCAUUUUUGCUCAAUACUCGGCUGAUGUGAGACUUAACACAGCCCUCUUAUACCAAAGACUGAACAUAUGAAGCGUGAAAUUUGUAGAACUGGACAUCUACGGAUGGUCCGACAUUGAGAUUAGGAUUAAUUCUAAUAUCAUAUUUGAUAAAAUGGACUUACUCCAAAAGGCAUCUUAUGGGAAGUGGAUUGUUCAAGUCAUAGAUGAAGCAAAUUUUUUGCCUAAUACCCAGCCAAUGUGAGGCAUAACAAUAACAUGAAAAGCUCAUCAAAUGAGAACAUAAUUUUGCAACAUGGUGAAACUCCAGCUCAUGUCAUGCAAUAGAAUCAUUUCAUUUUUAUUUUAUUUGCAAAAAAAAAAUUAAUGCCAAGAUCAAAUAUAAUCUUUAGUUCAUGUGAGGGAAUUUUCCUUGCUUCAUUACUAAUUUGUAUGGGCAAUAAUAGUAAAAAAAAACUCACCUUCUUCAGAGAAAACCAAACAUGUUCCUAUUGUUUCUUCAUAUUCUCCUAUCUGUGUAAAAAAAGCCAUUAACCAAUAAAAUUUAAAAUCAUAUACCAUGCACCAAUCUCAUCAGUAAACCACCCAAAUAGGAAAAAUCUCAUGAAAAAUUGCUGAUACUAAAAGUGAAUACCAAUGUCUGCCAACCCAAUCAAAACAUGACUCACCAGCUUCAAUUUGUCAUCUAUGAUCAGUAUUGGAUUCAAAGUAUCAAGACCCUAAAAUCCAAAAAACAGUGAAGUAAAAUAAAAUGAGUAUUCAUGACAAGAAAAUAAUGGGAUCCCAAUGAACUAAUAAGGGAGACAAUAAACGUGAAGAAAAAGGCAAAGAGAACUGAAAAAAAAAAAGCCAAAACAAAAUGUAGAUGCCAUGAUCCUAUACUUCAAUUAAAAAAGGGGCACAUGCAAGAAAGUAUGUAGUGGAAGAACUGCAAACAGUCUUGGCAACUCUUUAUCAAAUCCAUGAGCGAGAAGCCCCAUUCAAACCUUCAAGUAAGACCAGUAGAAACAAAAAAAAAGGUCUCCUAAAACACUUGCAUGGCAUUUUUGAACAACUAAAAUGCAGUGGAAAUUUUCGAAAGGUUAAAUAUCAAGCAAGAAAAAUAUAGAUAACUGUGUAUUAUAGGGAUUCAAGCAUA
This 1938-nucleotide unclassified non-coding RNA is filed under the name Hevea brasiliensis (rubber tree). Lineage: Eukaryota; Viridiplantae; Streptophyta; Magnoliopsida; Malpighiales; Euphorbiaceae. The record is from RNAcentral.